GGUCCGCCCACUCCGCGAAGGCGUCCAGGCCUCUGACUCGGGCUGGGGGGGCACCUGCCCCUCCUCCAACGCCAGUUCCCUCUAGAGCUCCUUUGUCUGGUGUGUUUAAGGGGCGGCCACUUCUGGGAACAGACGGGGAGGGAGCGGAGAUCCACAGACCUCGGUCCCCGCCCCCCUUCCUCGUUCCGCACCUUGCAGUCCGCGGGACGCCGGGUGCCCGGCCCCGAGGUCGUGGAGGUUAGCGGGGCGGGGCCCAGGAGCCCCGACGUCCCCCCCCCACACACACACGCCCGCGGCGCCGGGCGGCGGGGGGAGGGGCGGGGCGCCACUUCCUCUUCCGCGGCGUGUCACCGGCUGGGCAGGCGGUGGCGGGGGGGGGGGGGGGGAGGGGGGCAAGGUGCGGCCGCAGGUGAGCGGCGGGGGGCGGCGGCGCGCGCGGCGCGGUGCGGCCAUAUUAGGCGAUCUCGGCGCCGCGGGAGCCCCGCCCGCCGCCCGGGAAGCCGCGGCCCGGGCAGCCCCGUCCCCGCCCGCCGCCGGCCCUGAGUCACCGGCCGGGCGGGGGUGGAAGUAACGGACGGGGGGCGCCGGGCGCGCUCCUCGCCUUAUUUAGUCAAGGAGGCCGCCGAUUGGCCGGCGGAACAAAGGGGCGGUGGCGGGCGGCCGGGGCGGGAGCGGAGGGGGCAGCGGCUGGCCCCCGCCCCCACCCCCGGUCCCCACCCCCGGCCGCCCGCGACCCCACAGCUCCGCUGCCGGCGCGGCCCCCAGGAUGGGGGUGGGGCUACCCGUGCCCGCGCCCCCCCCCCCCCAGGUCCGGCGGCUGCAGGGGUGCGGGGGAUGCGGGGCUGGGUCGCCUCCCGGCGGGGGAGGAGGGGAGUGACGGCCCUUCUGGGAAGCACCGCCGGGAGCCGGGAGUACGUGGACGCGGAGGAGCCCUGCCCCAGGCACACAGGGCAGGUGACUUGGUGAUGGGUCGGCGCCCCCAGCCUUUGGCCUGGCCAUUCCCACCUGCGAGGAAUGCCUCGCCUUCUCCAUGCAAAUGCGACGUGGGAUCCUGGUUUGGAUCCUGGGACACAAAAAAGGAAGGCAGCGGAAGAAGCAGUGAAAUCUGAGUAAAGUCUGGAGUUUAAUACCAAGUGCCAAAGUUCCUCGCGGUGACAGCUGAACCACGCCUGUGUAAGUUGUUACCUUAAGAGAAACUGAGGGGGGAGGCUACAGCAAAGCUCACGCAAUCUUUGCUACUUUUCUGUAAAUCUAAGAUUAUAAUAAAAACUUCAUUUCAGAACA
Long non-coding RNA from Leopardus geoffroyi (Geoffroy's cat), 1284 nucleotides. RefSeq lists it as uncharacterized. The record is from RefSeq and is a predicted model, not a curated record. NCBI's taxonomy places the organism in Eukaryota, Metazoa, Chordata, Mammalia, Carnivora, Felidae. The transcript has 2 exons.